Molecule: long non-coding RNA, 1034 nt
Filed under: Homo sapiens (human)
Lineage: Eukaryota; Metazoa; Chordata; Mammalia; Primates; Hominidae
Description: non-protein coding lnc-ITGB6-3:1
Source: RNAcentral
AGUAGUUUUACUUUUUGAAAAUCUGGUAUUCUUUAUUUUCUGCCUCACCUUUCCAUAAGGAGGACAGUUACCAAUUUUGCAGUAUUUAAUAAGGAUGGUAUUUUUGGUACUGGGAUGUCCAGAGGAAAUCUGUAACCUACAUACUGAGCUCACUGCUGUCACCAAAGCUUUCUACCUGUGUCUGCUGUUGUAUGCUAACUGGGACAUUGUUCCCAGGAUUCCAUGUACGAUUGUGGGCAUUGUCACCUGCACAAGCACAAGAAUGCCUGGUCGGGGGUGAAUGGAGCUGAUAUCCAUCUCACACUGAGUCACCAAGUCCUGUACUUCAGAGAUUGACCCUUCCCAUACAGGGUACAUUUUUCUAAUUUGCAAGAAAGGUGCCCUAAGAGCUAGUGGCUUCCCUGAUUGCUCCCCUAACAUCAUGUGGUUAAAUUUUGGUAUCUCAGACAAGUAGAGGCUGCGGAUCUGCAGGGUCAAUUGGCUUCAGAUUUAGUCAAUUUCUUGUUUUUUAGGCAGUGAAUAAAUAUGUGGUUCCCCUCCCCCCCAGUUUUUUUCUUAAAAUGAAGCUCAUCAAACAAAUGUACCAUUCUGAGGUGUGUUCUCAAGUCAUAUAUUAUAAUUCAUUUCACUCAAAGUAUAUGAUUAAAGCUCAUUCAAAGCCCUAAGAGUUGGGAAUGAAGGAAGAAUUGUAGGAUGUUCUGCUGUGCCACAAGACUUAAUUUAUACCAUUUAUUAGUCUUACCAAGUACAUUGAAAGGAAAAAGUUGUUGGGGGCCAGGCACGAUGGCUUACAUCUGUAAUCCCAGCACUUUGGGAGGCUGAGUGGGGCGGAUCACUUGAGGUCAGGAAUUCGAGACCAGCCUGGCCAACAUGGUGAAACCCCGCCUUAUUAAAAAUACAAAAAAUUAGCCAGCUGCAGUGACAUGAACCUAUAAUCCCAGCUAUUCAGGAGGCUGAGGCAGGAGGAUCGCUUGAACCCAGGAGGUGGAGGUUGCAUUGAGCUGAGAUCAUGCCAUUGCACUCCAGCCUGGGCG